Molecule: transfer RNA, 88 nt
Filed under: Candidatus Omnitrophota bacterium
Lineage: Bacteria; Pseudomonadati; Candidatus Omnitrophota
Description: Candidatus Omnitrophica bacterium tRNA-Ser
Rfam family: tRNA
About the family: Transfer RNA (tRNA) molecules are approximately 80 nucleotides in length.
Source: RNAcentral
GGAGAGGUGGCAGAGCGGUUGAAUGCGGCGGUCUCGAAAACCGUUGGGCCUUCGGGUCCCGGGAGUUCGAAUCUCCCCCUCUCCGCCA